This 1046-nucleotide long non-coding RNA is filed under the name Megachile rotundata (alfalfa leafcutting bee). RNAcentral's name for it is "uncharacterized LOC105663819, transcript variant X1". Lineage: Eukaryota; Metazoa; Arthropoda; Insecta; Hymenoptera; Megachilidae. The record is from RNAcentral.
ACGUUACACUUUUCAGGAAAUCAGCGAAAUAGUGAUCGGACGAUAAUACGAACUUAAGAUAAGUAUUUCUAAUUAAUUACUACGCAUAUAUAUAUAUACUUGCAAAGAAUGCAAUAAAAAUGAAUAUCAGUAGUUUUCUUUAUUUUAACUGGAAAAUGGAAUUUAUUAUUGUUUCUAUAGAUGUGUAGGCGUAAUCGAAAAUUGAAGAUUAUAGUAAAAAACCGUUACAAGAUGUAGAUCAAAAACUGUAUUUACAGAUAGAUCUUGAAAGCAUGAAACUUAAAGCGGUUAAGACGUUUAUAUUAAUACAAACAAAUAUCUACCGCUUUUCCCGACUCGUGUACUUUUAACCAAACAAAUAUUUCAACAAAAUAUUGAACGCGAAUUGUGGAAAAUAUCGUUAGCAGGAAAUGGAGAACAUUGAAUGCGCGUGCGUGCGUAAGUUUUAAAGUUGGAAGCGAAUUCUAAAUUCUGAUUCGUGAUGCGAAACGGCUGAUUACGAGCACAUUUGAACAAUACAUAUCGGCCAGGAUUUAUCAUGAACGCGAAUAAAAAGGAGAAAAACAGAAGCAGAAGAAGAAGAAGAGGAGGAAGAAGGAGAAGAAGAAGAAGAAGAGGAAGAAAAGGAAGUUUUACACAAAACGUUGUUACAUAUAGGAGACAUUUGAUUCGUUGCGGUUGAAGAUGGACACAAGAAACGUUUACGGAUACAAUAAUUGAUCGUAUAAAGUAAAAUUGUUGCGGCGUAAAAAGAUAGAAAUCGAGGAGGCGCAAGAACGAAAAUAGAAAAGAAAGAAAAUAGAAGAGUAAUGAUUGAUUGCUUGAAGUCGGGGUAAUCGUGCAAUGAUAGGUAAAAGAGGAUAAACCGAAAGAAAGAAAGAGCUAGGACGGGGGUGGUUCUUUCAGUUUGUACGAGUUAGCGCAAGAAUGCGCAUGCCAGAUAUCGAUCGGUAAUCACUAUGGUUACGCCUCGGUAUAGAAGCACGACGGCAACUACGACAGCGACGACGACGACGACGGCGACGACGACGACGACGACGACGACG